Molecule: ribosomal RNA, 332 nt
Filed under: uncultured eukaryote
Lineage: Eukaryota
Description: partial 18S ribosomal RNA
Rfam family: Eukaryotic small subunit ribosomal RNA
Source: RNAcentral
CCCUUAGAUGUUCUGGGCUGCACACGUGCUACACUGGCAGGUUCAGCGAGCUUCAUGCCCUGAUCUGAAAGGAAUGGGAAAUCUUUUCAAAACCUGCCGUGCUUGGGAUAGAUGUUUGCAAUUAUUCAUCUUCAACGAGGAUUGCCUUGUAAGCGCACGUCAUCAGCGUGCAUUGAAUACGACCCUGUAUUCUGUACACACCGCCCGUCGCUCCUACCGAUUGAAGUUUUCGGUGAGUUGACAGGAGGAUUUUUUUGAAACUGGUUCGCCAGUGGAUUUUCGAUCCAAAUGCCAACGAAUCGAUGGCUUUAGAGGAAGGAGAAGUCGUAACA